This is a long non-coding RNA of Pristis pectinata (smalltooth sawfish), 513 nucleotides long. RefSeq lists it as uncharacterized. NCBI's taxonomy places the organism in Eukaryota, Metazoa, Chordata, Chondrichthyes, Rhinopristiformes, Pristidae. The transcript has 4 exons. The record is from RefSeq and is a predicted model, not a curated record.
GUUCCACGGGGGGGGGGAUCCCCGGUGUCCGGGUGUCCCCCCGGUGUGUCCGGCUUCACCUCCACAGUUACCCUUGGAGUUCCCAGACCGCGAAUUAAAUGUGAUCCUCGCUGUCAACCGCAAUCCAGCUGCUGUGCCCAGUGUGGGAGACACCUGCUGCUCCCUCUCCAUGGGCACCAGGACGUGGAUAACCUCGGAAGAGGGGCAGACAGUUGGCUCAGACAGACCGUCGGUGGCUGCACCUGUGAAUGGCCACCCUGUCCAGGCCCAGGAACAGACCAAUCCUCUGACCAACCUGCAUGUUGUCCUGAAGGAUGCUCACUCUCUACAAUGCAGGAGAAUGCGAAGGAGACGCCUCGGUAACAGCUUCCCACUGAACAGCCUGUUGUACUGCUCAGAGGGACCUUGAUGUACAAGUCCAAAGAUCCCUGAAGGUGGCAGCACGUGAAGGUUCAGUAAUGAAGAUUCCCCAAGCAAAAGUUUGUAAAGAGGUUAACGCUCCAGGAAAAAAAG